RNAcentral lists this ribosomal RNA (342 nucleotides) under Streptomyces bullii. Its description in RNAcentral is "bacterial SSU rRNA". It matches the Rfam family "Bacterial small subunit ribosomal RNA", at positions 140 to 496 of the family's 1533-position model. The record is from RNAcentral. Lineage: Bacteria; Bacillati; Actinomycetota; Actinomycetes; Kitasatosporales; Streptomycetaceae.
GGGACAAGCCCUGGAAACGGGGUCUAAUACCGGAUACGAGUUCCCAUGGCAUCUUGGGGACUGGAAAGCUCCGGCGGUGAAGGAUGAGCCCGCGGCCUAUCAGCUUGUUGGUGAGGUAACGGCUCACCAAGGCGACGACGGGUAGCCGGCCUGAGAGGGCGACCGGCCACACUGGGACUGAGACACGGCCCAGACUCCUACGGGAGGCAGCAGUGGGGAAUAUUGCACAAUGGGCGCAAGCCUGAUGCAGCGACGCCGCGUGAGGGAUGACGGCCUUCGGGUUGUAAACCUCUUUCAGCAGGGAAGAAGCGAAAGUGACGGUACCUGCAGAAGAAGCGCCGG